CCUGUCUGCAAGUAUUUUCUUUCAUAGCUGGUGGAGACGGAUGGCAUUGUCUGCCCUCACUAGGUCCACAAUGGCGUUGGCGUCUUUUGUAGUUGGCUAAUUGGUGUUCAGUUUUGCAAGUAAGUGCCUUUAGAUGUGUAUUUGAGUGGUUGCAAUUACGCGAUGUGUUUUGUUUUUUGGAUACAUGUGUUUUCCAAAUGGCACCCUGAGAUUUCAUUUUUAAACGAAGUGUCUUAUGUAUGAAAUAGAGUGUAGUAUGCAGGACCAUGUGUGUUGCAUAAAGGAGUAAGUGUGUUGCAUAAUUGCAACUAGAGUGCAAAGCAGCGCUUUUGUUUAAGGUAUGGGUACAUGUGUUUGAGGUAUGGUAACAAAAACUUCAAGUUGUGUUACUUUAGUCUAAACAUGGGUUUAUAGUGUUCAAGCAACUGGCAAAAACUGUAUUAU
Clarias gariepinus (North African catfish) is the source of this 444-nucleotide long non-coding RNA. RefSeq lists it as uncharacterized. NCBI's taxonomy places the organism in Eukaryota, Metazoa, Chordata, Actinopteri, Siluriformes, Clariidae. The record is from RefSeq and is a predicted model, not a curated record. The transcript is spliced from 2 exons.